This 348-nucleotide long non-coding RNA is filed under the name Mytilus galloprovincialis (Mediterranean mussel). Lineage: Eukaryota; Metazoa; Mollusca; Bivalvia; Mytilida; Mytilidae. The record is from RNAcentral.
CCUGCGCGACUGACAUAAAGAUCAUAAAAUAUUUCCAUACACCAAAUAUAGUUGACCUAUGGCAUAUAGAAUUAGAUAAAAAGACCAAAACUCAAAAACUUAACUUUGACCACUGAACCAUGAAAAUGAGGUCAAGGUCACAUGACAUCUGCCCGCUAGACAUGUACACCUUACAAUCAUUCCAUACAACAAAUAUAGUAGACCUAUUGCAUAUAGUAUGACGAAAACAGACCAAAACACAAAAAUUUAACUAUAACCACUGAACCAUGAAAAUGAGGUCAAGGUCAGAUGACACCUGCCAGUUGGACAUGUACACCUUACAGUCCUUCCAUACACCGAAUAUACUAG